GUUAGAAAUAGAAGUUAUAUAAAAAACAACAGGAAGAAGAAGAGGAAGAAAGCAAGCCAACAUGAAGGAGGAAAGGGAAAGAAAGAAGAAAAGGAAGAAAAAAGGAAAGGAAGGAAGAAUAGAAGGAAAGAAGAAAGGUAGAAAGAAAGAAAGGAUUAAAGGAAGAGAGAAAGAACUGACGAAUGAAGAAAGAAAGGAAAAAAAGGAAGAAAGAAAGGAAAAAGAAUUAAAGGCAUCUUUUCCCCCUCAGUGUGCCCAGGGCUCAGGUUGUGGCAUUUUGCACCAAGCAUCCCUCAGGUUGUGCUUUUCCUUAGGAGCUCUCAAUCAGCAGAUUGCAACUCUCUUGAAAGGAAGACUUUAUUUCUUUAGUGCUGUGAGAUAAUAAAAAGACAUCACUUUGUGACAUCUUGUGAUGGAGGCCCAGCUUCUCAGCCUUGCCACCUCAAACAUCAGGUCAUCCUUUCAAGGUGAGUCCAACUUGGUUAUCUGAUUACUGUCCUUAAUUAUCCCACCCCUGAUGAGCAGCAGCUGCAGCUUCUGCCAAGUCCCCCUGGCAAGCCCAGAGGGCAAGCUAGGACAUCAACAUGAACAUGCUCACCCUGCUAACGAUGCAUAAUCACAAGUGCCUCCCCACUUCUGAACAUUUUUAAGAGUUCAUUCACCUUCCAUAUGCACAUAGGAAGCAAUUACUUGGGUGGCUUUGAGCCCAUGCUUUUUGCCACAAUGACAUCCCGCAGAGAGCACUAGCAGAAAUCCUGUCCCUGAGCACUGUCUCUGCUGAGCCUUCUGUCUGUGCUGAGACCUGGCCAUGCUUGGAGGUGCAGGUGACAGACAGCACGUGCCACCCUGCCUGGGCUGUCACAUCACCCUCUGGCCCAGCACGCAGCUGCAGCCCCCCCUGGGCAGUUGUGGUAGCAGCAGCAGCAGCCUCGCACAGUCUGGGAUGCUCACAGCUCGGCUGCCCUGCUCACGCAGCCUGCAGCUUUCCUCUCCUGUUGCACAGCGUGCGUGCUUUCCUUCCAUUCCUAGCUGCUGCCUUGGUUAAAAUAAACCACAGGGUCCUCACUACUGAGUGUUAGGA
RNAcentral lists this long non-coding RNA (1081 nucleotides) under Phasianus colchicus (ring-necked pheasant). RNAcentral describes it as "lncRNA (ENSPCLG00000016656.1)". Lineage: Eukaryota; Metazoa; Chordata; Aves; Galliformes; Phasianidae. The record is from RNAcentral.